ACCUGAUGACAUCUUUGAUUCUGUCUUGUCCUAUAAACUAACUUUUGACAUCAAAGUAUUUGGUUAGAUGAUGGAUUUCUGUGUAUUUUUAAAUUGACAAAAAAUUGCAUGACAUAAUAUUUUAAAAUAUGUACACAUUGUAGAGUGGUUAAAUCUUCCCAGUGAAUACAUGUCUUACUUCCCAUACUUGUCAUUUUUUAUGGUGAAAACAGGUAAAAUCUACACUCUUAGUGAUUUUCAAGGACCUUGUUAUCAACAGUAGUCACCGUGUUGUGCAGUAGAUUUCUUGACCUUACUUCUUCUAUCUAACUGAAAUUUUGUGUCUUUUGGCUACAUACAAGUAAGAUCAUGCAGUGUUUGCCUUUCGGUACCUGACUUAUUUCACUUAAUAUCCUCCGAGUUCAUGCAUGUUUUCCUAAAUGUCAAGAUUUCCUUUUGCUUAAGAGGACAAAUGUGUAUGCCAUAUAGAUAUGUAUAUACUUCAUGUUUUCUGUAUCAGUUACCUGUUGAUGGACACUUAGACUCCAUAUUUUAGCUAUUGUGGAUAAUGCUGCGGUGGACACAGAAAUGCAAUUAUCUUGUUGACAUAUUGAUUUCAUUUCCUUUGGAUAUGCACCCAGUAGCGGAACUGCUGGAUUAUAUUGUAGUUCUAUUCCUUCCUUCCUUCCUUCCUUCCUUCCUUCCUUCCUUCCUUCCUUCCUUCCUUCCUUCCUUCUUUCUGUCUGUCUUUCCACGCAGAGUGGACAGUGAGAGAGACAGAGAGAAAGGUCUUCCUUUUGCUGUUGGUUCACCCUCCAAUGGUCACCACGGCUGGCGCGCUGCUGGUCUCCCAUGGGGUGCAGGGCCCAAGCACUUGGGCCAUCCUCCAUUUAGUUCUAUUUCUAGUAUUUUUGCUUGUUCAUGUUGUCUUGUGUAAUGGCUCUAUUCAUUUACACCCUCACCAGCAGUGUACAAGGGUUCCCUCUUCUCUGCAUUCUGGUUAACACUUCUUUUCUUUCAUGCUUUGAUAAUAGCCAUCCUCACAAGUAUGAGGUCAUAUUUCAUGGUGGUUUUAAUUUGAAUUUCCUUGAUGAUUAGUGAUGUUGAGCUUUUUAAAAAAUGUUUAUAAGUUGUUGGCCAUUCAUAUGAGAAAUGUCUGUUCAGGGUCCUUUGUGCCUUUUUAAAUUGGAUUAUUUUCUUGCUGUUGAGUUGUUCCUUAUAUAUUUUGGAUAUUAACCCCUAAGUAUGACUUAAAUUUUUUUCUUCCAUUCUGUAGGCUGUGUCUUUACUUUAUUGAUUAUUUCCUUUGCUGUACAGAAAUUUUUGGUUGAUGUAAUCUCAUUUGUCUGUUUUUGCUUCUGUUGCCUAUACAAUUUGGGGAUUUCUUAAACAAAUAAACUUUUUAUUUCUGCAAAAAGCAGAACACAUGAUGCAUGCUCCAUACAUUUUGGCUAGUUCCUUAUGUACAAGAAUGUUUGUUUAAAACCUUAAUUUAUCUAUUAGAAUAAUUUACAUUGGCAACGUGCUUCUGAAAUGCUUUGGAAGAGAACUGGGGAGAAAAUCUCUUUAGGGUACAAUCCUUUGGCCUAGGUCCAAUUUUGUUGUGGGACAACAUCUUAAAUGACAGUUUCCUCCUCAGAUCCCCUGAUGGCGCAUCAUCGCACAGGUAAUAAUCAAUAAAGGGUCUUUAUUUUCCCAGUUGAAGCCACCGUUAGGCUUCUAUUAGAGACAAAACAGCUGCAAGGCCUGUCCACUGUGCUAUUUUGGUCCUGCCUGUUUUUGAAGUAUUUUCAGUAAUACCAAUGGAUUGUUGAAUUUUACUUUCUCUGGAGUCAAGCGGCUAUUAUGCAUGGGCGGAAAAGGAAAGGAGAGAAUUUAAUGUAAGCACUGCAGUUUUUCAAAAGAAGUCAAGUUCUUUAGAGAAAGAGGAGAUAGCAGUGGGCAGUGCUACUCUGUGUGAAAAGGUGAGAUGGUUGGAAAACAGCGCAGCCAUCGGUCAGCCCCGUGUUUGCUUAGUAUUGGAUGAAUGAAAAUUCUAUUUGUACUUGAGGAUGAUAGAAUUUGAAAUGGUCGUAUUUCAGCUUCAUAAUGUUCUUGAGAGUGUGGCACACUUUUUUGUGUCUUUUUUUCUUUUCAUCUUUGAUGUCCAGCUGGUAUUUUGAGACAAGAGUAUGAUUAUGGAAUUGGAUUUGAAGAGCAGCACUAAAUCAUUCUCACUUGGUUCUUGACCUUCAUCCUAAACAGAAUAGAUUUCAUGGGAGGAAUCAGUUUGGGAAAGAUAUAAUUUAAUUCUGCUACGGGUCAACCAGAAAGGUUAAGUCCUUUAAGUUCCUCAUUCUGUGAUGCUGCUUGGUGAUGUUUUUGAAGAAAGCCAUUUUUAAUAUUAGAGUUACUUCCUUCUUGCCCUGUUUUAAAAUUUUGGGUCAGUUUUUCUUAGUAGUAUUUAUUUCUGUGUCUUUUAUGCUUUUUCUUGUGAAUUAAAGAUGAUACUGCCUCUAUUUUGACAUGCCAGGUGGCAAGUACUUAGUAUUUGGAAAAGUUGUCAUUGGAAAUUGGAAAGAUUUGUUUCCUACCUCCUCUGUCCCUUGAAACAAGAUAAUAGAUGAGGAUUGCUGUGAGGUUUUCUUCUGUAAGAUUUUUAUAUAACUGCCUUUUGGACAAAAAUCCACUAAGGAAAUCUCAGACAAUUUUUUUUUUCUCUUUUUUGUAGAGUUCUCUUUACUAAAUUCCCUUUUCAGGAGGCAACUCUCCACUCUCACUGCACUCAGGUUUGCCACAUGCACGAUAUGGCACUGCUGCUUCCCUUUGGAGGAACAUUUUGGGUCUGGUAGGCAGACUCUGUAGUUGUUAACCCAGGACACCAGGCUCUGAAACGCUCUUGCUUUGGGUAUGUUCUUUGCAGAUGUGGUCUCGUCUACACAGUCCUCUCAUUUCUUUCUUUUUUUUUUUUUUAAGAUUUUAUUUAUUUGAGAGGUUUAAGAUUUUACUUAUUUAUUUGAGAGGUAGUUACAACAGUGAAAGGAGAGGCAGAGAGAAACCUCCCAUUUCUUUUAUAAAUAUGAUUAUUUUACAUUUUCUUUAGGUUCCCCAACCAGCUCUUAUCCCGUUGCCUACUCUGACCUCCUGUCUCCUGAGAGGUUCCAAGCAGGGUGCCCCAGCUGUGCAGUGAGGAUGCCCUGGAAGGCCUCCCACCCCGCGAGCAGUGCCCUUUGCUGUGCUGAUCUCUUGUUGUUCCUUGUUACUCUGCUUCCUCACUCUGGCCUCACCACCCUGCGACUUCACAUUUCACCUGUUAGCUGUCAUUUUCAACCCACCCAACGUUUUGCUCAGCAGUGUUUCUUCAUUAACAUUUUCCCAUCUUUUGUGUGUGAGUUGGAAUGUUCUAGUAACUGCUUCCUUCAGAUGUGACCUGGUUUACUUGGCAGAUAGACUCAUUUUGAGGGAAACUGUGCUGUGGAUGUUUUGUCCCUUUUCUGUGAACUGCAGAUUGUCUAUUGGGCUUCUUGCUUUUGGGCAUAGUGAAUGUGAUGACAUAGAAUCUAGAAAUUCUUAAUAGCCUAAUUUUAUUAACUUUUUGGACUACUCAAGGUCACAAAAAGUCAGUGAAGCCUGAGCCAAUUCCAGUAUAUGAUGAAAUAACUGUAGCACCUGUGAAGUAAAACAUAGAUAUAGUGUUUACAGGGACCAAUGAGAACAGAUGUAAGAGACACAAUUUUCACGUCCAUAUGUGCACCACAGGUCCUCUGACCCAGAUAAAACUCAGUCUUCCAAGAGGGCAGCUGUCUCAGUAGCUUAGUUUCCAAGAGCGGAGACUUGAUCCUGUGCUCUGACUGUUAAAGCACCAAGCUUAGUACUUUGCCCCUGCUAGGCAUCCUUUACAAAUGGGUCAAAUGAAAUGAUGACUUCAGAGAUUGAGUAAGCAAUGCAUGUACCACAAUACAUAGUUGAAUGAGCACAUGAAGCAAUUCAGUUUGUGGCAUGACUGGAAGCGAGACCUCUACUCCUGUCUGACAUUCAUUUAACUACAUGUCAUUACCUCUGCUGGCUGCAUCCUCACCUUUAGACCCUGGCCUCUCCAAUCUGGUGUGUUUUUUUUUUUUAAGUGUAGACAGUCUGUAAAACCUUAGAGAUCAGAUACUGGUCUCAAGCUGGCCUCCACUCCAUGGUAGUAAGUUACGUUUCUCAGACCCAUUUUAAAGAAACAACCCAUUUCAAAAAAUUGUUUAGAAUGUAUAGUUAUUGCUUCCUUCCAUCCUUUUCAUUCUUGUGUCUUGCGUCAUCCUAACACACAUCCCUUAAGUAAUUGGGGCCAUUGUCAGGAGAGGUAUAAUGGAGACCUUUCAUUGACUUUCCUGGUUCCUUUUCUGAUGUUGUCUUAUGCACUUUUGGACUUCUUGUGCUCUGUUACCAUCCCAGUACACUGAUGGCUGUGUUGGUUCCUAAUAUCUUGUUAUCAUCAGCUCAUUCUUUGAUAUGACACUUUCUUGGUUGAACUUCUAUUUUAUUCCAGAUACCAUUCUAGCUACUCAAGAUAGCGGAGAGGGAAAAAAGGACAAAAAUCUCCACUGUUGCAGAGUUUAUGUUCUUGAAGGGAGAGGUAAACAAAUUAGUAAUCUAGAUUACCUUCUCCAUCCCUCAUGCUUUUCCUUUACUCUUAAGCCUGACCUUCCUUCCUCUAGAGUAAGUGGGGCCAUCUCUGCUGAGUGUGCCUAAGACACAUGAGACCAAAUGGCAAGUAGAGCAAGAAGAAAUGCUGGUGUGUGUGUGUGUGUGUGUGUGUGUGUAAACUGGAGACAACUGGAAAAACCUAUAAACAAUAAAAGUAUAAGUCACAUUAGAAAGCCAGGUUUAGAUUAGGGAAAGGUUACUAAAAAUACUAAAAAAUUAGUCUUGUAUAUUAGUUGGCUUAUUUCUGUCAUCGUAACUUUUUCCUUCAGGAAGAGACUUUAAGACUUAGGUAAAAUUAGUGUUCCCUGCCUGUGUUGUACCCUAUUGCGUCUAUCUGUGGCAAUUUCCCACAUAGGUAUCCUAACCUGGGAAAGAUUUAAGCUAGAGCUGUGGUUGGGGUCAUCUGCAGAUAGAAGAUAAUGAAUGCCUUAAGGAAGAGUGCACGCUCUAUAAGGGAAUGAGUGUAUAGGAUGAGAUGGGCCAGGGAAGUGAUGAGAGAGAGAGUUUAUAGGCAGAGAUGGGAGAGAGGAGAUCCCUGUGAACAGCCACAUGUGGGAUUCCAAAAAUACCCUUUAAGAGACUGAGAAAUGUAUGUGGAGUGGAAUUAUAGUAAAGACACAUUUGAGAGUUAUGCCUUUCAAGUGCUGUAGAGGUGUCAACAAAGCUACACACAAAAUGAAUCCACUGAAUUUAGCAAAAUUCUAAGUGAGAAGCCCAGGGAGCUAUGGAAUAAGCACAGCAAAACACAAGGAAUCGAACCAAAGAAGCACUGGCCAAAAGAAGCAGAGAAGGGAGGUGCUAGGUCCAUGCUUCCUGCCCAGUAUCACAUUUCCCGUGUCUGUGAAUAGGCUGUUUUUGUUCUACAUGGCGAUUUAGUGCAAUCAGAGAGAUGGCUCUCACAUUAGUGAGCUCCCAUUCGAUGUAACCCAUUUCCAUGAGAAAUGCAUUUCCAAGAGGAGACUGUGUUGUGCUCUGUUGAAAAUCAGCCUCUAGGAAACUCAUAGGGGAAUUCUGGGGGGAAAAGGAAAAGCUUCCAGGGAGAUGUUUUAAAAUCCUUUGAGCCGCGUAUAAUCACUGCAAACUUUGCAUGUAUAUUGACUGUACAUUAAGAGCACUUUCUGCAGUAAAGACCUCAAAGGCACUAGUCCAUUAUGAGAACAAACAGCAAUUUAAAGCAAUAUUUUCCAGAGAAAAGAACCAGGAGGAACAAAGAUGCCAGAGUUGGGGCUCUUUUGUCCUGUUCAUAGGUGAGAAAGUGUGCUUUUGAUUGAUAUGUACCAAAGACUGUGUUCAGCAUAGUAUGGUUUGGAUGGUUAAUGAAUGUUCAGAAUAGUAAUUUGAAACAUUUGGGGUGGUGCCUCCAGGCGCUUUUUCCAAUACCUCUUUUAUUAUCUCCAAUAUCUGGAACAUGCAGACGGAGAAUGGAAAUCACUGUGCUGCCUCUCCUUUGCUCCCUUUCUCAUGAGUCCGAGUGCUCAGACUCUGUAUAACAGCAAGACCUUCCGCUCCCAUGAUUUCUGCCCUUUCAUUUUUAGUAACGGGGCUAAAACUUUUUCUGUGAAAGGCAUGAGUUUAUCAUCUUUGGAAGACAGGACCCAUGAUGAGUCCAGCGUAUCUCUUUGUGCAUCAUUUUCUUCGGAUUUUUUUCUUACAGAAGGGUUUGUUUAUAGAAAUGUGGAAUGGCCUUGAGGGGGGAAACAUUUACUUUCUAAUUAAGAUCAAUGUACCGAAAUGAAAAGAUUAUUUUUCCCCAUUCUCAUGUGUUUGCUUCAUGUUUAUGUUUGAUUUUUGCAGUCACACAUUUUGCGUUGGUGGCAUUUGGUAGCAAGAUGCCACACAGAUAAGAUGCUACUGAGGACUAUCAGACCAUGACAACUUAAUAGCAUCUUGGUAAUGUGUCCAACUCAAAUCUAUUCAGAUUCAUAUACAGCAUAAUUUCAUAUGCCCCUUAGAAAAAUAAAAACAAGAAACAACACCAUUAUACAACACACCACUAAUUUCAGGCUUCAUUUACAAGCAAGUAAUGCUUUACUGUUAAAUAAAUAUUAAAGAGCUAUCUAUUAUUCUGUGUUGUGGCUGAAAAGUAUUGGUCAUGCAGUAACCCAGAUAGUUAAUAUAUUUGCAUUAAAUUAGAUAAAGACAAAAAAAAGUAUAAUAAGAGUCAGAAUACACCUUUGCUUAGCCCUAGAAUAUAUUACCUCUUUUUGAUGCCAUAGCAGUAUUUCAGAUACUAUACAAUUUAUCAUGGACAAAGUCAUUAAACUUCAUGAUACUCUAAGCUUGUUAGAAUACUGAAAGUAUGCAUAGCCUUCUUUUCUCUGGUUUCUAUUAUACUGCCAGGAAAUCUGAAGAUUAGUAGCAUAAGGUUGACAUUUUUGGAGGUGUACUAUGUUCCAGAGAGUAUGCUGAAGAUUUUGCAUAUAUUAUCCAUGAUCUUCACAGUAAUACUGUCCCCACUGUACAGAUUAGAAGAAUAAGGCUGGCCGGCGCUGCAGCUCACUAGGCUAAUCCUCCGUCUUGCGGCGCCGGCACACCGGAUUCUAGUCCCGGUCGGGCCGCCGGAUUCUGUCCCGGUUGCCCCUCUUCCAGGCCAGCUCUCUGCUGUGGCCCAGGAGUGCAGUGGAGGAUGGCCCAAGUCCUUGGGCCCUACACCCCAUGGGAGACCAGGAGAAGUACCUGGCUCCUGCCAUUGGAUCAGUGCGGUGCGCCGGCCAUGGCGGCCAUUGGAGGGUGAACCAACGGCAAAGGAAGACCUUUCUCUCUGUCUCUCUAUCUCACUGUCCACUCUGCCUGUCAAAAAAAAGAAUAAGGCUCAGAGAGUUUUAUUGCCCAAGUGUUUAUAAUUCAUAGUGAUCCAAGUCCAGCUGUGUCUGUCUCUAGCAUAAGACUCUUUCACUGGACCCUUUCUACUAGAAGUUUCUGGGGGUAGAUGGGCCCCAGGUUUUAAUAUUCUUUGGAAGAUGCCCUUGGAUAUUCUAAUAUUGAACAUUGAUUGGAAAAGGCUAUACAUUCACUAUUUUGACUUUCAUGAGAGCAAGUCAGGCAUCCAGUUUUGAUAUGUGGAGAUGAAGAAAUACUGACUAGCAAAUUUUAAGAUCUUCAUUUUACAUUAUCUUCAGGUUUCUGUUUGAAGUUGCUUCAUUCUUUACAAGGAAAAGAAGGAACAUAUUAUGUUUGCAAAUGCAUGUGCGUAUGUUGGACUGUUGCCAUGUAUCUCUCUCAUGUCCUUAAGCAUGGAAAGCUAGUUAAAUGGCAGAUAUGUAGAUGGAAUAGGUACAUGGAAAACAUGUGGAAACUAUUGAGUAAAACAAUGCGCUCAUAGAUAACAAGGUCAAGGAGAAAGAAAGUGUUGUGAAUGUACAGUACAAUCUCACAUAGCUUCAUAUGUGAGUCUUUGUGUGUGGACUCUUUUUGACUUAUAAUUUAAUAAACCUAAAAUGUUUAAGAGCAGAAGUCGCUGGAUUUGACAACUGAUUGUUUAAGCUGCAUAACCAGAGAUGGAAGAAGACUGUUGCUUUCUGGAGCUAGAGUAGGUAGGGUGGGUAAGUGGUGGUGAUAAAGAAAUAUUUCCUUGCUGUUGUCUGAUCUCAUAUCCUUGAUAUUUAGGUUUAGGUCAAAUCAUAUUGCCCAAGAAGCUGGCCUGUCUUAAAUAUUUUGUAGAUUAACAGCAAAGGUGAUUCCUAAUCUACAACUUUUAGUGAGAUUUUGUUGUUUUUGGCUUGAUGUGGUUUUCAUAAUGGUGUCAAAUCCUUUCUCACUUUCCUUUGCUUCCCAGGUAGGCUGAUGAACCCCUAAAAUAAUUCUGUAACAAUCCUUGUUCAAUAUUGAACUUUGCUUCCCUGUAUACCCUGCCUGCAGAUCAAACCCUACCCCGACUUCACAAUUUGUGUCUUCCAUACUGAGGGUUCUUAGCACUCACAACUGUGACAGAAGGCUGCAGAAGGCUGUCUGGGCUCAAUGACCAUCAGUAUCACAAGCACAGUUUGUUUGGAGGUGCUUACCUGUGUUCUAAUGUUUAUUUAGAGUUUCAAGGUGGGAUGAUGCUUCAAGUCAACAAGUGAGGCUAACAGAAUUUGACCUUAUCAUUAUUUCCUUUUCAUUCACUGUUGGCUACCAGGAAAUUCUAACAUUUGCAGUUGUUUUAGCUUAUAUGCUUUUUUGUUAUAGAAAAGAGAGGCAUUUCUUGUAAUAGUUAACAUGAUCUUACAAAGGGCUUCCUAAAGAUAGACAUACCCUGAUUUUCCUAGACGAAUGGGCUGUGUUCUGUGUCCUUGCCUAGCAUAGGGUUUAGCAAAGGACAUGGUCAUCAGCAGGGCUGGAGCAGAGACACGUUUAAUCAGAGGAGUGUUAGACUGAGGGACUACAAGCUAAUUGAGGCUGCUGGUGCUUACUGAACCAGGCCAUUCUUUGUUUCUGUUAAUUGCAGGGUGACUGGAAAUUUUAGGACAGUGGACAUUUCCAUCCAAUCAAAGACAGUGCUCACAAAAUAUCGGAGUAGUUCUCCAGUUGUGUAUUCCAGCUUCUCUGAAGUCAGGCUUUCUCAGUAAACCCAAGGAUCCGGGGACCUGAGCUUGGUGUUCCUCCUUACGACAGGGGACAGACAAGGACAAAAGAGACUCUCACAGGAAAAUCUCUAGGCAGUUGACUGACUUCUUCAGCAAGGGAGAAGGAGUGUGCUGGACAUUUUUAAAUUUUUGUGGUGGCAGAGAUAUGGGUCCUUAGUGAUCAUUUUAACCCCUACCUAAUCCAAAUUGACUUCAACCUAUUAAGUCCUACACUUGAUCUUAGCCAAAAGGCCGAGAAGUGACACCUAUUAAGUCCUAUUGUGAAUUUUUGGGAGAGUAUAAAGGUAAAAGUUCCUCUUUAAUCUUUUAAGGAAAAAAGAAAGAUAAAGCACAUAAGAUUACUCUACAAAGGAUUUUCCAACUGGGAAUUUGUGACUAUUAUUAUUUCUUAUUUUUCUAAGCAAGCAUGCAGUUUAGUGUUUCUUCUUCUUUGCUUAGACUAAUGUUAUAGCAUUGCCCUUCCAUGUUCCCAUAGGAAGGAGAGAGCAGUACAAGAGUAAUGCUGGUGGGAUUUCAAGCCCAUGGACACCAGAGCAUAGUGCCGUUUGUAGAUGUGUUUGCCCUUAGAAGAGAUGAAGGGGAAGCCAGCAUGGUGGGGAGAGGGAUGGCUAGAUCAGGACAGAAGCAGAAACUGCAGCUAGAGUCUGAGACCCACUAGGAUUAAUCCCAAGACACCUUUUUAUCCUGUGAGACUGUUUGCCUUCUCCUACCAGUGUUUCGAGUUUCUCUCACAAGCAAGAAACAUCGCUUCAACUAGAAGCAAGAUCCAUGCAGUGCCUUUAAGGUCCCUGUGUCUGCUUUCCAUUUGCUUUUCUGUUUGCUUUCCAUUUGGCCUACUUGAUUUCUCUUGUAUUCUGGGCACGUAGAGAAUUGCAUAUUUUUGUAGUGGGCCUAUUCUAUCUAUAUUUGAAUUUGCAGGAGGGCAUGCCAUUUAGAACAGUUUUACAUAGCAGUGGUGAAGGAAAAGAGACGACUUUGUGGUUGAAAUAGUAGCCUUCUUUCAAUGACAUUUGAAAGAUAGAUGUUCACCACCAUGCAUCUUUCCAGGCUACGGAUCCAGCAUAUCUUGAGAAGAUGAAUGGAUCAGAGAAGCUGGUUAAUUCAUUAUCUUUGUUUUGCUGCUGGCUACCCAGGGAGAGCUGCUACCAUGGCCAAUAGGUUGUCCUGAUCUUGUUUUUAUGUUGAUGUAAAGUAUUCAGUAUGCUGAACACUAAAAUUUCUUGUGGUACUUCAGUUUCUGGAGGACACUAAAAAUAGAGAGAAUGAAUGAAAUAUAUCCCACUGAAUAGUGGUCUCUUCCCCUCACUCCUGAAUAAAUUGGAAAUCUCUUUCUGCCAUCCUACAAUACAGAUUCCUAAUGUCUCGUUUCUUGCCCUAGCAUAGGGUUCUCUGGGGACUGGGAAUAGUGCAUUCAUAGUAUCGUUUCUGUAAUUUUCUCUGAUGCCAUCUGAAGUGGGAGUUAAGAAACCUGAAGACAGAACUGAUUUGAAAGAGGGAAUUAUCCUAGGAGGACAAGACUCUUCAUUAUGAUAAUUUAUAUCUGGCCAGAUUGAAAGGGUAGGGGGCCUCUGAGCUAGCCUGUCAUUUUCUGUUAAAGUUCUAGGAGAUACGAAUUGCUGACACAUUAGAACUGUGGUGAUGACAAAGUGAUCACUGCACUAGUAUUGUGCUUUCAAAGCAAUCUAGAGUAAAGUUUGGGGAAACAUUUUAGGAGUGUAUGAAAGUGUUGGGGCCAUUUUAAACCCUCAUUUUAUCUCCUUGCCUAAGGCAUGCUAUAGAUACAAAUCAAGUGGAGAAUAUAUAUCAGUUAGGAUGCAUUCUUUUGAAAGCAACAAUAAAACCAAUUCAAAUUGGCUUAAGACAACAAAGGGGAUAGAUAAGCUCCUGCACUGUUAGAAGGCCAAGGAAGGGCCAGCUUCAGACUGUAUUGAUCCAGAGUUAUUAGGACCCUGCCUUUUUUGCUCAUGAUUCUCUUGGCCUUGGCCUCCAUGGUACUUUGGCACCAUUCUGACUCUGGUUGCUUUCACGGUAGCAAGGUGCUGGGGCAGUUCCAGGUCUCUUGUGCACACAUGACCCUGUCCAGAGUAUGUGAAUAUGUCCUUGUACCUUUGUAUUUAGAAAGGACCCAAGAUUCAUUCUGAUUGGUCUACUUAGUUGGCUUAGAAUAGGUCACCUGCUCACGCCCUGAAGUGAGGUAGAGAGCAUUCCCAGAGUCACACAGAAUCUCAGAUGCACAUGGCAAUGUCAGAAAGGGCUGAAUGGAUGCUUGGGAUACAUCCUUGUGUCUCUAACAGCACACUGCAGUUGAGGUUCUUUUAAAAUUCACAGACAAAGGAAAGCAGAUUUCACGCCCACUUCCUCCCCGGAAGUUCCUGAUGAUUGUUAACACAUUAUAUCUAUUUAAUUUUUCAAGACACCCAGAGAAGCCAAAUCCCCCACUUAUGCUCCAGUGCAGUACGUCCUAGCCAGUGCAUCCCCCAUAUUUUCCCCCUUCACUCUUGAUGCAAUUUAAUCCCAUUUUCUUUCUGAUUUAAUAGUCAUUGGAAAGAAAGAACAGCCGGCGUAGUCAUUCCAUAUGAUACCCCUAAAUCUAUUUUCAGUGUUUUACUAUCACUUCAGUUAGCUUUGGUACCUCAUGUCAUAGUAAGGCAAAUGUCCUUAUUUUCUGUGAUCUCUAGCUUACUGAUUGGAGGUAGAUUCAAUCGACUUUCCUGAGGUCAUAUGCUGAGUUACGAGAGAGAGUUAGUAUUAAUGGUCACAACUCCAAGUUUGUAGGAGUUAACAAAAUGCAACCUGUUGGUCAGAUCUGGCCAUCGCCUGAUUUUGUAAAUAAAGUUUAAUUGGGGCACAGCCACAUCUAUUCAUUUACAUAUGUCUAUGACUACUUUCCACACUGCAAUGACAGGGUGGAAUAGUUGUGGCAGACACAGAAUGGCCUGAAAGGCCUAAAGUAUUUAUUACCUUGCCCUUUACAAGAAAAGUUUACUGAUCCAUGAAUUGAAUGAGCCAAAUUCUUCACUCUAGAAACUGAAAGAUUUUACAGCUAAAUGUUAGACUCUUUCCUAACCUUUCUAGAUAGAUUGUCUUUCAAAGUGAUCAAGGAAUAGUGGAAGGAGAAACAACCUGGAACGACUCAUGUGGUCCUAGCCUCUUAUUCCCCAGAAGAGAGACUGCUUAGAGACAACAAGUGACUUACACAGACUACACAGCAUAAUAGAGGUAGACCAGAAUACCCUUUCUUUUCUGUACCCAUAUUGUGUCUUGAAAGAGUCCCUAACCCUGCUGAUACCAAGGGAGAGGUAAGUAUUGAAAUAUUUGGGUGAGAACACUGGCAAGAGCAGCGAAGCUCUGCCACUUACCAAUUUGGGCAGGUCAUUUAAACUACCUGCUCCCAAUUUCUUCGUCUGCAGAAUGAAACUAACACCAGUACAGUGCUCCUGAAGUUAUGCUGUGAGCGGGACAUUCAAUGGAACAGACAUAGGAAUAUCUCAGUAAGUGUUAGCUACUGCGUCAUCAUGCAAAUCAGCAGCAGCAGGUACCCUGCACCCGGCCUUGCAUCUCUUCCGCCUGCCUGUGAGGACAAGGGCCCGCACUCCCUAUCCAAAGCCGUCUGCUUCACCUGGGAACUGGGUUGUUUUUCUCAGGCUGCCUCAAGGAUCUCAUUCUUUUGCUUCAGCUUUCUUACAUCUUCUGUUCCUUCCUCUCCACAGUUCCUUCAAAUUAUUAACAAAAUAGUAGACUUACAUAUACUAAAGACAGUGCCAUCAUCUGUGUCCUGUUGAUGUAGUAUAUUUCUCCCCUUCUCCUCCUUUCCCUAGUGGUUCACAUCUUGCUGGCUUUAUUCCUUCAAGUUUCAUUCUAACUUCAACUCUUCUAAAAGUGUCCUAGCUAGGUUCAAAUAAACACACACACACACACAAAUCUUAAGCAGCAUUAAAACUCCUGAGAACACACUUCAUGGGAACCUCCUUUUUCCUUCAUUUUGAACCAUAAUCCUAUUUUGCUUCUCGUCUCGUCUCCUAAUUAAUUUGUCUUCCAAAUUAUUUCUUCUUUGCUAUCUUGUACAUAAUUUCCCUGGUCUGAAGUUAAAAGUUCUUCCUGAUAAUCUUAUGCCUUGGUAUGGCUUCGGUGACUGUCCAGCUGAUGAAUGAAGUGUCCCUGUGAAUGAAGCAGAACUUACACCACUCCUCAAACUGUCCUUUCAAAUUACUCCUCCAUUUGAUAAUUCAUUCUUCUCCUCUUCAUUUACAUUUGUGUUCUAAUACCUAAUGCAUGCCAAACACUUGUUAUCAGUCCCAUUCUGUGCUGAGAGCUUUAAAAGCAUGAUAGAAGUUUAACAAGUAAUAACUCAGGAGAAAUUUUUUACCGAAAAUGUACAAGCUCAGUACAUUCAGGUAAGCAGCUUCGAAUCACGAAAGACCAUCACCAACAUUCUAGGAGCUGUCAGUGCUCUCGUCCGGUCAUUAACCCUGUGUGCAAUGACAGUUGUCACCCAAACUUCUAACAACAUUUUUAGUUUAACCUGUUUCUGUAUAUUAUUUAAACAUAGUCAUGCAGUAUAUAUUGGCUUCUUUCCUCAAUUUGAUGUUUGGAGAUUUGUCUGCCUUCUGUGUGUAACUGUUGAUUACUCAUGCUUCUUUCUGUAUGGUGUUCCCUUCAUAUGAACUUGCUACAAUCUCUGUAUCCAUUUUUCUGUUGCUAGAAACUUGGAAUAUUUUUAGUUUAUUUAUUAGUACAAAUAAAGCUAUUAUGAAAUUAUCAAAUACAUCAUUCAUUGCACCAUGCACACAUUUUUUGGGUAUAUUGCUUAAACUGAAGAUGCUAGGUUAUAGGUCUACAUGCAUUCAACAUAUUAAUAAUUUUAAAAAGUCACUUUAUUUCUCCAUUACUAGUAUAUGAGAGUUCUUGUUCAUGCAGCAUGUAUUCCAGCCCUCAAACAGUUCUGUGAGAUAGUGACUAUUUUUUUUCAUUUUGUAUUUGAAUAAAGUCUGAAUCUUAGAUAAAUAGCCAAUGUCAUGUACUGUAGUGAUAUAUCCCCCAAGGCAGUAUAACCCCAGAGCCUGCAUACUUUUAACCACUAUCCUUUUCUCCUUCUCUAGAAAAUAAAGAUGAUCCUUGGCUUUGUAACUCCCAAAGUUCCGAUACGUGAAGUUCAAGCCAGCCCAAUGUGAGCUCAAUGUGUGUCAACUCCUACUGUGGCCAACAGAUGGCACUAACAGUAGUUUGAAACUUUUCAUUUUGGGCUUCUGAACAAAGGAAUUUGGGUUUAGCCUCUUAGAACUAGUUUGUCUUCAUACUGGCCUGAGCUGUCCCAGGAGAACUAGAAACUUUGAAACCAUUCCUUUCAUCCACCCUACAGUGGGAUCCGUAGUCCCAUCCAUCUUACUCAAAACUAACUCUCAAGUAUACAACUACCCCCUGCCACACACACACACACACACACAUUACAUUCUCUUCUUCUUCCUCUGUCUUCCCAUUAUCCUCUUUUCUUGUCUCCCUUGAACACUUGCCACAGGUGGCUUCUAAGGAACUGCUCUGUCCUGCUUUGCUCUUACUCCUGAGGCAAGACCUGGGUCCUCUGUCCUGGGUGUCGAACGUAGUCUGGCACAGGGAAGGUACUCAUGUUUCGGCACUGACUGAAGUUUCAGCAGAAGCCCAAAGGUUCAAAAUAACUAUUUUUCCUUCUUUCAGUAAGCUCAAUGGGCAUUUAAUUUGCUCCAUGUGCUCAUGUUCUGGUGAUAUGCUCUGACCUACUGGAGCACAUGGCUCUGCCCAAACAAUGUAGCUUAUUUGUGUCUUCUGUCUUCUUUCUUUCAAAAGAUGGAGGACAGGAGGACUCAAACAAAAAGACCAUUUCUUUCGAGAAAAGCGCGGAUUGCCACAGCAGUUCUGAUGGGAGACUACGAUAUGACUAGGCUGCCGUCUAGCCUGGUUCAAAUCGAAUGUCUGGCCAAGUUACAAAGAGAGGAGGAGAGACAAAGAGAUCUUUGAUCCGUUAGUUCACUCUUGAAACGACAGCAGCAGCUGACGCUGGACCAGGCAGAAGCCAGGGUCCCAGAACGUCUUCCAGAUCUCCCGCGUGGGUGCAGGAGCCCAAGCACUUGGCCCAUCUUCUGCUGCUUUCCCAGGUGCAUUAGCAGGGAACUGGAUCAGAAAUGGAACAGCUGGGUCUUGAACUGGUGGCCCGUAUUGGAUGCCAACAUCACAGAUAGAGGCUUACCUUGCUCUACCACAAUGCCGGCGUCUGCCUUUCUGAACUCCCUCACAUCUCUCCAGGGAAGCUAACUUGUAUUUCAGUGACAGGAUCCGCUCGGGAGAAUUGGGGCCGGGCUGGAUAAGGUUCUCAAGGAGCUGAGUUUUGAGUUCAGGUGCCCGCAUGGCAGUGGAACAGUGCCUCCUGACCUUUCAGAACUUUGAGACCUCUGGGCGGUCUUAGAAUCACCUCAAGCCUCCAGUCCAGGAUACGCCUGCCUAGGGGAGUUCCAGGGACAGGUGGCAGACAUCACAGCCUGCGAGGCGAUGGGUACCGCAAUGAGCUCACCACAAAUCUCCAAGACUCCAAGCCACUCUCUGUUCCCAAGCAUAAAGCUAUGCUUCUGGAGGGGCAGCAAGAAACAACCUGGGACCAGGCUCCACUUCUUGGCAAGAGGACAGAGCAUCUUCUCGGGUGUCCAGGGGGCUGCUGAGGGAUCCUGAGGAAGAUGUGCUGGUCUGUGGGACAGAAAGGCAGCAGAAGAGCCCGCAAGUGCUGGAGCAGAACUCAAGCCGUGUCACUCACUGCAGACUCAAGUGUGCUGUGCUACAGCUCUGGAUUGGACUCUUUUCCUUUGCCAUCACCCACGUAACACAUGGUUCUGGAUGCUUUGGACUGGUUGGCUUUGUUUUUCUUUCUUGUCUUUUCCUUUUCUUGGCCCUUGGAAAUAUAUAAAAAAAGAAUUGCUUGAAAAAACUGUAAUUCUUUGCCAAAAUUAGCUUCAUUUAUGAACAAAUUCUAAUCCUAGUGAUUUUCUGAAAAGGAAUCCCAGGCUGCCAAGUAAAUGAGGCUGUGGGGUUUGAUUUGUCCAGUACUGAUCCUUACAUCAAAAAUACAUUUUUAUUAUUUUUUUUUUAAUUUGGAUACAGGUAAUGGCCCGAGUUACAUUUGCUUAACUACUGAAGUGACCUCAAUGUGUUAUCACUUAGAGUUGAAACACAAUCAAACACACAUUAUCCUUGGAGCUCUUGCAUGCUAUUUGAUAUACAGGUAGCACUACAAAGAAACACAGCCCUUACUGGUUGAAAUUUAAUUUCUGUUUGAUCCUGCAGUAGAAUGGUAGAGAUUAUAAAUUUCAUACAUGACUUUAAAAUGCCUUCAGUGUAGGCUGGUCAAUAGUGAGUAGUUUUGAAAUGCCAUUUUCUAAGGCAAAGCAGGAAUUGGAGAUCAACUGACCUCGUCAGCAGUGUUGCUCAGGUCAGUGUGGGGAGCUUCUCUUUUGGAGAAGUUGAAGAACAAGUUGCUUGUGUGGCUUGGUUUAUGGAAACUGUAGUAUUUCUGACUGUUUUGUAAUUUUGCUGCCUUGGAAUAAAACACCUUCCGUUAA
Non-coding RNA from Oryctolagus cuniculus (rabbit), 16792 nucleotides. The record is from RefSeq and is a predicted model, not a curated record. Lineage: Eukaryota; Metazoa; Chordata; Mammalia; Lagomorpha; Leporidae.